UUAUUAUUAUUAUUAUUAUUAUUAUUGUUAUUUUUAUAUGCGUGUUUUAUCUUUCAAGCACCAAGUUACGCAAAUGUAUGAUGCAUAAUGCCAAGACGUUUUGAGGUUAUGGACGAUGUAGAAAAUCAACUAAACUCACCCUACGUUGUGACAGUAGUUUUCACGGAUGAUGCAGAGCAAAAGAAUAUCGCCAUGGUAAAACAAUUAAAAGAGAACUUGAUAAAUUUGCUAUAUGUAUGGUUAUGUAUAGUAAAUACAAUUGUAUAAGCAAUAUUUUUAAUCAAAGUCAAAAAGUGAAUGAUAUCAAAGGAUUGUUGCUUUUGUGUUAUUUUCACAAAUGGAUAUUAACUGUACAUAAUAAUUCUGCUUCAAUUACUGAGACCGUUGAUGCAUACGAAAAAUAAUGGAUAAGAUAUUAGACGAAAGCCAAUAUAAAGGUUUUAAUUUUUGAAAAGGUAUAAUAAAAGAGAACUACAUUUGUAGGUAUUUAAAAAUGCAUGAUUCCAUUUUAAAAAAUUACCAUGACCAUUGCAUAUUCUACGUACUACCAUCUAAUAAAAAAUCAAACAACUUGUACAUCAAACAUUUCUUCAUAUCAUCAAAAUUGUAAAACUUAUAUAGGUGACCAAUUUAAAAUGAAUCAUUAAAAUCACAAAUUUUUAAGAUUGCAGGGAUAUUAAUCAGAUUUGGUCUGUUAUUAAUUACUUCUUAAUUAUUUCAUAUUAUUAU
Polistes dominula (European paper wasp) is the source of this 729-nucleotide long non-coding RNA. RefSeq lists it as uncharacterized. The record is from RefSeq and is a predicted model, not a curated record. NCBI's taxonomy places the organism in Eukaryota, Metazoa, Arthropoda, Insecta, Hymenoptera, Vespidae.